CGCUAAUACCGCAUACGAUCUACGGAUGAAAGCGGGGGAUCGCAAGACCUCGCGCGAGUGGAGCGGCCGAUGUCAGAUUAGGUAGUUGGUGGGGUAAAGGCUCACCAAGCCAACGAUCUGUAGCUGGUCUGAGAGGACGACCAGCCACACUGGAACUGAGACACGGUCCAGACUCCUACGGGAGGCAGCAGUGGGGAAUUUUGGACAAUGGGCGCAAGCCUGAUCCAGCCAUUCCGCGUGCAGGAUGAAGGCCUUCGGGUUGUAAACUGCUUUUGUACGGAACGAAACGGCGAGCUCUAAUACAGUUUGCUAAUGACGGUACCGUAAGAAUAAGCACCGGCUAACUACGUG
RNAcentral lists this ribosomal RNA (351 nucleotides) under uncultured bacterium. RNAcentral describes it as "bacterial SSU rRNA". It matches the Rfam family "Bacterial small subunit ribosomal RNA", at positions 161 to 507 of the family's 1533-position model. The record is from RNAcentral.